GUAGGUGGCAAGCGUUGUCCGGAAUUAUUGGGCGUAAAGCGCGCGCAGGCGGGUCCUUUAAGUCUGAUGCGAAAGCCCACGGGCUCAACCGUGGAGGGUCAUUGGAAACUGGGGGACUUGAGUACAGAAGAGGAAAGCGGAAUUCCAAGUGUAGCGGUGAAAUGCGUAGAGAUUUGGAGGAACACCAGUGGCGAAGGCGGCUUUCUGGUCUGUGACUGACGCUGAGGCGCGAAAGCGUGGGGAGCAAACAGGAUUAGAUACCCUGGUAGUCCACGCCGUAAACGAUGAGUGCUAAGUGUUAGGGGGUUUCCGCCCCUUAGUGCUGCAGCUAACGCAUUAAGCACUCCGCCUGGGGAGUACGGCCGCAAGGCUG
Molecule: ribosomal RNA, 373 nt
Filed under: uncultured organism
Description: partial 16S ribosomal RNA
Rfam family: Bacterial small subunit ribosomal RNA
Source: RNAcentral